UUUUUCCUACGGGGGGCAGCAGUGGGGAAUAUUGCACAAUGGGGGAAACCCUGAUGCAGCGACGCCGCGUGAGUGAAGAAGUAUUUCGGUAUGUAAAGCUCUAUCAGCAGGGAAGAAAAUGACGGUACCUGAUUAAGAAGCCCCGGCUAACUACGUGCCAGCAGCCGCGGUAAUACGUAGGGGGCAAGCGUUAUCCGGAUUUACUGGGUGUAAAGGGAGCGUAGACGGCAGCACAAGUCUGGAGUGAAAUGCCGGGGCUUAACCCCGGAACUGCUUUGGAAACUGCGCAGCUAGAGUGCAGGAGG
RNAcentral lists this ribosomal RNA (305 nucleotides) under uncultured bacterium. Its description in RNAcentral is "bacterial SSU rRNA". It matches the Rfam family "Bacterial small subunit ribosomal RNA", at positions 333 to 655 of the family's 1533-position model. The record is from RNAcentral.